UGGGGAAUCUUGGACAAUGGGGGAAACCCUGAUCCAGCCAUGCCGCGUGAAUGAAGAAGGCCUUCGGGUUGUAAAGUUCUUUCAGUGGGGAUGAUAAUGACCGUACCCACAGAAGAAGCUCCGGCUAACUCCGUGCCAGCAGCCGCGGUAAGACGGAGGGAGCUAGCGUUGUUCGGAAUUACUGGGCGUAAAGGGCGCGUAGGCGGUUACGUAAGUCAGAGGUGAAAUUCCCGGGCUCAACCUGGGCGCUGCCUUUGAUACUGCGUGACUAGAGAUUGAAAGAGGUAGGUAGAAUUCCUAGUGUAGAGGUGAAAUUCGUAGAUAUUAGGAGGAAUACCGGUGGCGAAGGCGGCCUACUGGUUCAUAUCUGACGCUGAGGCGCGAAAGCGUGGGGAUCAAA
This 400-nucleotide ribosomal RNA is filed under the name uncultured bacterium. Its description in RNAcentral is "bacterial SSU rRNA". It matches the Rfam family "Bacterial small subunit ribosomal RNA", at positions 355 to 772 of the family's 1533-position model. The record is from RNAcentral.